Phaethon lepturus (White-tailed tropicbird) is the source of this 47-nucleotide non-coding RNA. Lineage: Eukaryota; Metazoa; Chordata; Aves; Phaethontiformes; Phaethontidae. The record is from Rfam.
CUAAAGGCUUUUCUCAAAACCAUUCCAUUUCUUAAAAGAAAUUCAAU